GAAAUGCGAUAAGUAAUGUGAAUUGCAGAAUUCAGUGAAUCAUCGAAUCUUUGAACGCACAUUGCGCCCGCCAGCAUUCUGGCGGGCAUGCCUGUCCGAGCGUCAUUUCAACCCUCGCGCCCCCCCGGGGGCGCGGCGUUGGGGACCGGCCCGCCCCGGGCGGCGCCGCCCCCCAAAUCCAGUGGCGGCCACGCCGCUGCCUCCCCUGCGCAGUAGCACAACUCGCACCGGAGCGCGGCGCGGCCACGCCGUAAAACCCCCGACCCCAAGACUUUGACCUCGGAUCAGGUAGGAAUACCCGCUGAACUUAA
This 311-nucleotide unclassified non-coding RNA is filed under the name uncultured Hypocreales. RNAcentral describes it as "sequence contains ITS1". The stretch from base 1 to 105 matches the Rfam family "5.8S ribosomal RNA", at positions 50 to 154 of the family's 154-position model. Lineage: Eukaryota; Fungi; Ascomycota; Sordariomycetes; Hypocreales. The record is from RNAcentral.